Molecule: ribosomal RNA, 729 nt
Filed under: uncultured bacterium
Lineage: Bacteria
Description: bacterial SSU rRNA
Rfam family: Bacterial small subunit ribosomal RNA
Source: RNAcentral
AGUGGCGAACGGGUGAGUAAUAUAUCGGAACGUGUCCAAUAAUGGGGGAUAACGAGUCGAAAGAUUCGCUAAUACCGCAUACGCCCUACGGGGGAAAGCAGGGGAUCGUAAGACCUUGCGUUAAUGGAGCGGCCGAUAUCUGAUUAGCUUGUUGGUGAGGUAAAGGCUCACCAAGGCGACGAUCAGUAGCUGGUUUGAGAGAACGACCAGCCACACUGGAACUGAGACACGGUCCAGACUCCUACGGGAGGCAGCAGUGGGGAAUUUUGGACAAUGGGGGCAACCCUGAUCCAGCCAUUCCGCGUGAGUGAAGAAGGCCUUCGGGUUGUAAAGCUCUUUCGCAAGGGAAGAAAACUUAUGAUCGAAUAAAUCAUGAGGUUGACGGUACCUUGAUAAGAAGCACCGGCUAACUACGUGCCAGCAGCCGCGGUAAUACGUAGGGUGCGAGCGUUAAUCGGAAUUACUGGGCGUAAAGCGUGCGCAGGCGGUUUUGUAAGUCGGAUGUGAAAUCCCCGGGCUCAACCUGGGAACUGCGUUCGAAACUGCAAGGCUAGAGUGUGUCAGAGGGGGGUAGAAUUCCACGUGUAGCAGUGAAAUGCGUAGAGAUGUGGAGGAAUACCAAUGGCGAAGGCAGCCCCCUGGGAUAACACUGACGCUCAUGCACGAAAGCGUGGGGAGCAAACAGGAUUAGAUACCCUGGUAGUCCACGCCCUAACGAUGUCAACUAGU